This 377-nucleotide unclassified non-coding RNA is filed under the name plant metagenome. RNAcentral describes it as "partial contains 5.8S ribosomal RNA, internal transcribed spacer 2, and large subunit ribosomal RNA". The stretch from base 1 to 104 matches the Rfam family "5.8S ribosomal RNA", at positions 51 to 154 of the family's 154-position model. The record is from RNAcentral.
AAAUGCGAUAAGUAAUGUGAGUUGCAGAAUUCAGUGAAUCAUCGAAUCUUUGAACGCACCUUGCGCUCCUUGGUAUUCCUUGGAGCAUGCCUGUUUGAGUAUCAUGAAAUCUUCAAAGUAAAUCUUUUGUUAACUCAAUUGGUUUCUACUUUGGUAUUGGAGGUCUUUGCAGCUUCACACCUGCUCCUCUUUGUUCAUUAGCUGGAUCUCAGUGUUAUGCUUGGUUCCACUCGGCGUGAUAAGUUAUCUAUCGCUGAGGACACUGUAAAAGGUGGCCAAGGUAAAUGCAGAUGAACCGCUUCUAAUAGUCCAUUGACUUGGACAAUACUUUUAUGAUCUGAUCUCAAAUCAGGUAGGACUACCCGCUGAACUUAAGC